CAGAGAUUUGAUCUCGUGUGGUGUGGUCCACGCGAUACAGGUACAGAUACAGAUACUCGGCACUGAUUGUUUUUUGAGUUUUGACUUUGGCGCAUCAUCACCUGGCUGGGUGCCAUUAGCAUUAGCCCCUCUCUAGAGCUGUCUCCAACAGCGAGCGGGGCACGGGGCACGUUCAAUGUAAAUUAGCCGAUGCAGGAAAUUAAAUGAUUUUUUAAUGUGCUGGAAAAAUUAUUACUACAAACAUGAUGAGAGAAGAGGCACAGCCAGAAGAGACUGAAAACCCCAGAGCAGAUCUCAAGUUGUUUCAUGGAGUGCUAUUGAAAUUUUAUUAUUCGGACUCGUGGCAAGGUCGCAGCAUUACGCGGCAGAAACGAAACACUUGUCGGUGAGGACGCAGCAGCAUCUCCUUUGGGCAUUACCCUACACUGGCAUCCGCACCCAUUCAUUAUCGGCUCAUUUAAUGGGGCGGGGCGGCAUCUGGCGUCUGGCCCGUGCAAAUUGUGAAAGUCCGCCCGUGCCAAAUAAUCGAAUAAUCAGCAGCGGCAACCACAACAAUGGAGCUAGAGCAAAAAUGUUUGCCAAAAAGUCAA
Long non-coding RNA from Drosophila subobscura, 590 nucleotides. RefSeq lists it as uncharacterized. NCBI's taxonomy places the organism in Eukaryota, Metazoa, Arthropoda, Insecta, Diptera, Drosophilidae. The record is from RefSeq and is a predicted model, not a curated record. The transcript has 3 exons.